UACGUAGGGGCCAAGCGUUGUCCGGAUUUAUUGGGCGUAAAGAGCUCGUAGGCGGUUCGGCAAGUCAGCUGUGAAAUCUCCACGCUCAACGUGGAGGGGUCAGCUGAUACUGCUGUGACUCGAGUCCGGUAGGGGAGUGUAGGAAUUCCCGGGUGUAGCGGUGAAAUGCGCAGAUAUUGGGAGGAACGACCGGUGGCGAAGGCGGCUAUCUGGCCAUGUACUGACGCUGAGACACGAAAGCGUGGGGAGCAAACAGGG
Molecule: ribosomal RNA, 258 nt
Filed under: uncultured bacterium
Lineage: Bacteria
Description: partial 16S ribosomal RNA
Rfam family: Bacterial small subunit ribosomal RNA
Source: RNAcentral